UACAGAGGUGGCAAGCGUUGUUCGGAAUUACUGGGCGUAAAGGGCGCGUAGGCGGUCCUCUAAGUCCUGUGUGAAAUCCCUCGGCUCAACUGAGGAACUGCACGGGAUACUGGAAGACUUGAGUUCGGGAGAGGGAAGCGGAAUUCCGGGUGUAGCGGUGAAAUGCGUAGAUAUCCGGAGGAACACCGGUGGCGAAGGCGGCUUCCUGGACCGAUUACUGACGCUGAGGCGCGAAAGCGUGGGGAGCAAACAGG
Molecule: ribosomal RNA, 254 nt
Filed under: uncultured bacterium
Lineage: Bacteria
Description: partial 16S ribosomal RNA
Rfam family: Bacterial small subunit ribosomal RNA
Source: RNAcentral